This 581-nucleotide ribosomal RNA is filed under the name uncultured bacterium. Its description in RNAcentral is "bacterial SSU rRNA". It matches the Rfam family "Bacterial small subunit ribosomal RNA", at positions 242 to 823 of the family's 1533-position model. The record is from RNAcentral.
UAGCUAGUUGGAGUGGUAACGGCACACCAAGGCUACGAUAGUUAGGGGUCCUGAGAGGGAGAUCCCCCACACUGGUACUGAGACACGGACCAGACUCCUACGGAAGGCAGCAGUGAGGAAUAUUGGACAAUGGUGGGAACACUGAUCCAGCCAUGCCGCGUGCAGGAAGACUGCCCUAUGGGUUGUAAACUGCUUUUUUACGGGAAGAAACAUCCGCUCGUGAGCGGACUUGACGGUACCGUAGGAAUAAGGAUCGGCUAACUCCGUGCCAGCAGCCGCGGUAAUACGGAGGAUCCGAGCGUUAUCCGGAAUCAUUGGGUUUAAAGGGUCCGUAGGCGGGUUUGUAGUCAGUGGUGAAAUCCGGCAGCUUAACUGUCGAACUGCCAUUGAUACUGCGAGUCUUGAAUUACUGUGAGUGGUUAGAAUAUGUAGUGUAGCGAUGAAAUGCUUAGAUAUUACAUGGAAUACCAAUUGCGAAGGCAGAUCACUACAGUAUAUUGACGCUGAGGGACGAAAGCGUGGGUAGCGAACAGGAUUAGAUAUCCUGGUAGUCCACGCCGUAAACGAUGGAUACUAGCUGU